GGCUCUAUAGUGUAAUAGAAGACGUUGGAUUGCAAAUCUAAAGAUGCAAAUGUUUGCUAGGGCUU
Molecule: transfer RNA, 65 nt
Filed under: Blepharipoda occidentalis
Lineage: Eukaryota; Metazoa; Arthropoda; Malacostraca; Decapoda; Blepharipodidae
Also listed under: 1 other name
Description: tRNA-Cys
Rfam family: tRNA
About the family: Transfer RNA (tRNA) molecules are approximately 80 nucleotides in length. Their secondary structure includes four short double-helical elements and three loops (D, anti-codon, and T loops).
Source: RNAcentral